Molecule: long non-coding RNA, 1876 nt
Organism: Pieris napi
Lineage: Eukaryota; Metazoa; Arthropoda; Insecta; Lepidoptera; Pieridae
Exons: 2
Source: RefSeq, a predicted model, not a curated record
UUACGUCGCUUAGCUAACAAUACCGCACAAGUCAUAUUUUAGCCAAAUGACGUUUUUUACACCAUUCGAUAGAUUACUUUCCCGCGCGUCUGAUGAGCUCUCGCUAGAGGUAAUAUCGUCCAAUAAGAGCGCGUUAUUCAAAAACUAGUAACACAACACAACUCAUUGGCUGCGCUAACACCGCGCAAGUCAUCAUAACGCCAUAGUAAUUUGGCCGUGCCACGUCGCACCUUAUAAGAUCGUUUGUCGUUUUUAAAAAAGCGCAUUUUUUGUAACGGACUGGCCGCACUGAUGUAGUUUAAAGAACACGAAAAUGGACAAAUUGGUCGAUAAUGAUACCACGCCUGAUGACUUUUCAAGAGUUGACGCUCAAUGUAAAGUUAUUACUUUACGUGACUUACAAAAGAGACAUAGAGAAAAAAUGUUAUUAAAUACAUUGGGUAUUAAAGAAUGGUUUGUCCGAUACUGGUUGAUAACGACAGAUUGUGCUAUGCCACCGCCUUCUGAGAUUUCUCGGAAUGUAGAUUGCUCCAAAAAGAACUCUGAUGGUCACGAGCGUCUACAGCAAUUUUUAGAUAGCCUGCCGAAGAUGCCAUCGCACUACUGUCGAGCAAACUCAUCCAGACAAUACCUAGAACCAGUAUUUCAUACCAUGGCACAAUUAUACAAAGAAUACGUCAGUAAAUGCGAAUUGGAUUCCUUAAAAUGUCUUUGUCGUAGGGUUUUUGACAAUGUAUUCUUAAAACAGAAUCUUAGUCUGUUUCAUCCCAAAAAAGAUCAAUGCGAUGUAUGCUGUGGUCAUAAAGUUGGAAAUAUAAACGAUACUGAAAUUACAAUACAUCGCGAUAGGAAAGACAAAGCUAGAAAAGAAAAAGACACUGACAAAAAAUUGGCAAUAGAAGGAAAAACGUGUCAUGUAUUUACGCAAGAUGUUCGAUCAGUAAAAUUAGCUCCCUACCUUCAGGCUAGUGCCAUAUACUACAAGACAUUUUAUCUGUUCACAAUUUUACCAUGUACAAUUUGUCAACACGUGAAGCUUGCUGCUACUGGUUCGAUGAAUCAAAUGGCUCCCUUGAAGCUUCCGUUUUCGCAUCGUGCACUGUGGAUCAACUACAGAUAAUUUUAAAAAGAAAAUUACUACCGGUAAUAUUGUAUUCUGAUGGCUGCUGUGCACAAAAUCGAAAUUCCAUCUUAAGCAAUGCUCUUCUGCGUUUAUCCAUCGAUAAAAAAUUUAAAAUAAUUCUAAAAUUCUUAGAAAAAGGUCACACGCAGAUGGAAUGCGACUCUGUACACAGUGCCAUCGAAUGUAGAUUAAAGGGAAAAGAAAUUUACCUUCCUUCCCAGUAUGCGAAUAUAACAAAGACAGCUAGAGAUAACCCAAUGCCAUAUGAGUCUCGAUUAUUAGAAUUCUCUUUUUUUUACCAAUUUCAGUAAGGCUUUAAUUUACAAAACCAUUCGUCCGGGCAGAAAAUUCGGAGAUCCCACUGUUACCGAUUUAAGGGUAUUAAAAUAUAAACCAGAUGGAACUAUUUGGUAUAGCUUAAACUUUGACGAACCUUUGCAGCCGUUGCCUCAGCGUCCAAUGAAAAUUACCAAUAUAAAACCUUUAGAAGAGCUACCGAAAUUAUUUUCUGAAAGACUGCCAAUUUCCCAAAGAAAAUAUAAGGAUCUCCAAGAUUUAAAGGCAGUGAUACCUUCGAACUUCCACGCUUCCUUAUAAAAAUUAAAUAUUUUUCAUUAUUAGAUCCAUAAACAUUUUGUAUUAUUUUUAGAAGUAGGUUAAGUAUUCGAAGUGUUUAUUUUGUCUUGUAUUGUUUGUGUUAAAUGUACCAUUUUUAUUAAAGUUUUUGAGAGUUUAGAAUUAUAAGAAGUCAUG